Molecule: long non-coding RNA, 1669 nt
Organism: Globicephala melas (long-finned pilot whale)
Lineage: Eukaryota; Metazoa; Chordata; Mammalia; Artiodactyla; Delphinidae
Source: RefSeq, a predicted model, not a curated record
CCCACAAGUCCCAGGAGCCUGCGCGUUAAAGUAAGCCGCGCAGCAGCUUUCCCGCCGGUUUUCUGCGUAAUGUAGCACGGCGGCCACGCCGCGGGGUGGAGCGCAUGUGGCGGUGUCCUUGCCGGAUGCGAAAGGAGGUGCCAGAAACUUUAAACCCCGGCCAGAAGACAACGUGUCCACUUAGACGGCGGACUCGUUUCACAAUGGCAGGAUUUGGGGGAUCUCCAGUGAGCAGGAGAGCAAGUUACUGUGUAUCUUGCCUUAGAAGAGGAGACCCAAUCAGCCCUGAAUCCAGCUGCAGUAAUGCCAUAAGAAGCCAAAACCACAUGGAGAGGCUGUGUGUAGCUGCCUCGACUCAACGCUCAGCUGACAGCCCACAUCAACUGCCAACCAUGUGAGAGAGCCGUUUCGGACUUGCAGCCCAUCCAGCCUUCAGAUGACUCCAGCCCCAACUGAUAGCCAACUGUGACCACGUGAGAAGCACCCAGCUGAGCCCAUUCAACCCGCAGAAGUAUGAAAGAUAAUAAUAAAUUCUCCUGUUAAGCCUCUAAGUUGUUUUGUAGUCAGCAGAGGCACAAAGGCAUUGUAUUGUGAUGGGCCCCUCUCCCUAUAGGAUUGGUGAGAAGGGACAGGGGACAGCGAGCCCGUUGGAGUUUUCUCCUUGGUCCCUACUUGUCCAUAAGCAGCACCUGUCCCUCUGUUCCUGUCCUCCAGCAGGUAAAUACCAGGAAAACCUCCCUUGGUGAGGUGGGGAGAUGAGAGACAGUCCAGGAGGCAAGUUUAAUUUGAGGGCUGGAGGUGAGGAAUAAAACGUCCAUUUUGGUCUUAGAUCCAAACCGCGGUUUCCAGUCUAACUUUAUCCUCGCUAUAAAGUUAUUUUCAUCCCAGACUCCUGUGUCUGUUUUUUAAAUUGGUUCAGAAAACUCAGGGAAAAAGGAUAAAAUUAUUUUUCCUCUUCAGACCCCAACAAGCAACCUUCUUCCUUUCUCACAGGCUAGAAAGCAAAGUUUAAUUUUUUAAAAAUUUCACCCUGCUUCAUCGUCUAAAAAUCAAGUGUGCCCUCCAUUCUUGUUACGUGGUUUUGUGAAACGCCUCUCCCCUGUGCCUCCUUUUGGCUUUCCUGGUCCCUGCCCCAGCUCAGAGCCUCACUGCCACAUGGUUUCACUUCUACGGCGGCCUCCCGGUCUGCACCUCCCUACCUCUGCAACCCCCAUCCACGUGCUGUUACAAGCUAAGAUUUCCACCGCCACAUUCACUUAUCAUGCUGAUCCCCUUGCUGAAGACCUGAUCUGCCGCCUCGGGUCCAGUUCUAGGCCCUCCAUGAUAAUUCGCUUGAUGAUAGCUAAUAGCCCUUCAAGCUAAUCUUCCAAACAUUCUGUAAGGCAAAUUUUACUUCACACCAGACUCAUUGCUGCUUCCUUCUUUUAUCUUGUCCUCCCUCUUCAGAUUAGAUGGUGUUCGCUCUCUCCCUUCUCUGAAUUCCCCUAGUCCCUUAGGAAGCAGGACUCACAGGGUUCAUGGCUGAUUAUUCUUUGGCCUUCCAAGUGCCCCAAAUUCUAAUUGCUUGAGGACAUGUUCCCCAGUGUGCUCCUCGAUAAACACUAUUGGACUCAUGUUUACUCUCUGUGUAAACAGCCAGUGAGAUUCUGUGGUCUUGAUGGAAUAAACG